Lycium barbarum (goji berry) is the source of this 609-nucleotide long non-coding RNA. RefSeq lists it as uncharacterized. NCBI's taxonomy places the organism in Eukaryota, Viridiplantae, Streptophyta, Magnoliopsida, Solanales, Solanaceae. The record is from RefSeq and is a predicted model, not a curated record. The transcript is spliced from 2 exons.
GAUCCCUUUCUGUUCAACUAUACCAAACGACCCCUUUCUUCAACCUGGCACAAAACCUUAGUCAUAUCCCACAAAAUCCGCUUGUUGUUCACCUCUCACAUCCGUUCACAUAUCUCUUCUCCUUCCUCACACUCCAUCUCUGAAGCUUGCAGGCUCCAUGUGUGAUUUCAUGGAAAACACUGGAGCAAAACAACCACUGCCUCACUGGUGCUGUUGAGAAAAAAAAAACAGAGGAGAAAAUGGGAAAAGAAAAAAACAGAGGAGAAAAAAUAGAAAAAGAAAAAAACAGAGGAGAAAAAACAGAAAUAGAAAAAAACAGAGGAGAAAAAACAGAAAAAGAAUCCGAGAAUAGAAGAAGGAAAAAAAUGCAGAAGUGGCUGGAAACAGAGGAGUCGUCGUCGAAAAAAAAAGAAGAAGAAAGAAGAAGCAAAAGUCGAAAAUAGAGGAGGAAGAAAGAAGGAGAACUGAAGAAAAAGAAGAAGGAGAAAGAGAGCGUACCAUAAAACCUUGAAGGAGAAGAGAGGAGGAGGCAAAAAAAACCCUAGCAGCUGUUUUUCUUUUGAUAAUAAGUUUCAUUUAAGUUUUCAACUUCUUUUAAUUGCCUUUUUU